RNAcentral lists this ribosomal RNA (484 nucleotides) under uncultured bacterium. Its description in RNAcentral is "partial 16S ribosomal RNA". It matches the Rfam family "Bacterial small subunit ribosomal RNA", at positions 30 to 507 of the family's 1533-position model. The record is from RNAcentral.
AUUGAACGCUGGCGGCAGGCCUAACACAUGCAAGUCGAGCGGAUGAAGGGAGCUUGCUCCUGGAUUCAGCGGCGGACGGGUGAGUAAUGCCUAGGAAUCUGCCUGGUAGUGGGGGAUAACGUCCGGAAACGGGCGCUAAUACCGCAUACGUCCUGAGGGAGAAAGUGGGGGAUCUUCGGACCUCACGCUAUCAGAUGAGCCUAGGUCGGAUUAGCUAGUUGGUGGGGUAAAGGCCUACCAAGGCGACGAUCCGUAACUGGUCUGAGAGGAUGAUCAGUCACCCUGGAACUGAGACACGGUCCAGACUCCUACGGGAGGCAGCAGUGGGGAAUAUUGGACAAUGGGCGAAAGCCUGAUCCAGCCAUGCCGCGUGUGUGAAGAAGGUCUUCGGAUUGUAAAGCACUUUAAGUUGGGAGGAAGGGCAGUAAGUUAAUACCUUGCUGUUUUGACGUUACCGACAGAAUAAGCACCGGCUAACUUCGUG